GGCCAUGGCAUGCAGCAGCUUGAUGUGGGAUCUCAGUUCCCAGACCAGGGAUUGAACCCAGGCUGCAGAGGUGAAAAGUCCAGAGUCCUAACCACGAGGCUCCCCUAUGCUAAACCCUUAAUCAUCUACUGCUUACUAUGUGGGCAGAAUGACUAUGAUAUUUAUCCAUAGCUACUGCCUGCUGUAGCUUUCUGAGCUGAAUCUUUUUUUUUUUUUUUUUUUUUUUUUUUUUUUUUUUUUUUUUNUAGGUCUGCACCUGAGGCACAUGGACGUUCCCAGACUAGGGGUUGAAUCAGAGCUGUAGCUGCCAGCCUAUGCCACAGCCAUAGCAAUGCCAGAACCAAGCUGUGUCUGGACCUACACCACAGCUCACGGCAACGCCAGAUCCUUAACCUACUGAGUGAGGCCAAGGAUCAAACCCAUGUCCUCAUGGAUGCCAGUCAGAUGCGUUUCCAUUGAGCCACGACGGGAACUCCCUGAGCUGAAUUUUUUAUUUAAUAUAGAGCAAUACAGGCAGGGGCUUUCAAAUGAUAUGAAUGAUUUUCACAGGUCACCUGGAACUCUAUUUCUCUAAAUUCUACUCAAUCCAUCUCUGAUUUUAGGUACCACGUAUUUUAAGGCUAAAGGUGCAGUUUUGACUUUAUAUGUACUACUUAUUCAUUCACUCAUGCAUUCAUUUGUUCAGCUAACAGCCAUUGAGCAUCUAUUUUGUAUUUAGUCUACUUUUUUUUAAUUCAAGUACUUUUGGAAUUCAAUGAAUUACUCAGAAAAAGAUUUAGCAUGGGGUGAAAUUCUGUCUUCCAUAGGAUAACACUCAAGGGAGAAAGGAGUAAAUUGUGGAUGAGAAAUAAAGGCUACUUAUGUUAGUUCAUUUGGAACUGGAACUAGGAUCGUGAAGGUAUUCUGUGGCUUGUUUGGCUAAUGACUCUUGCAAAGUUAUUACCUGAGUUCCAUAACUCUGAGUACCACUGGGUUAAAGAAGCACCCCUUCUCCUCUGGCACCUUAAUUUAAAUCUGGCCAUGACAAAAUGAUUUCCCAGGUACUAAAGACUGGCUUCUACACAAAAUGUCUGUGUGACUGCACUUGGGCCCAGUGCAGAGGUGAAGUUUCCUCCCAGCUAGAGGAGCAGAAGAGGUGGCAUGGGUUGGGGGUGGGGUGGCAUGGGUUGGGGGCAUGGUGGCAUGGCGUUCAGAAGACUGGGAAUGGCUUUGUACUCUCCCCACUCCUCUUUCCUUUCUGACAAACAGCAUCCACUUGCCUGGAGAAUCCAGUGGUCCCAAGUGAUUAUACCCGGCAACUAUCUGUAGAUGGUUAUUCUGUCUGUCCUCCAGUCACGGCUCAGACAAAUGAUAAAUAUUGAGGUCUUUUCAUCUUAUCUCACAAGUCAAUCCCUCCAGCCCUCUAAUCAUUCUUGUUACUCUCUGGUGACAACCUUUCCAUUUGUCUACCUCUCGCUGACACAGAAAUGACAAGAAGCAGAUUUAAAAAAGAAGAAGAAGAAGAAGAAGAAGAAGGAGGCGUUCCCUUAGUGGCUCAGUGGUUAACGAACCCGACUAGGAUGCAGGAGGAUGCAGGUAGGAUCCCUGGCCUCUCACUGAGUGGGUUAAGGAUCCAGCUUUGCCAUGAGCUGUGGGUGUAAGUCACAGACAUGGCUUGGACUCCGAGUUGCUGUGGCUGUGGCGUAGGCCAGCAGCUGUAGCUCCUAUUGGACCCCUAGCCUGGGACUCUCCAUAUGCCAUGGGUGCAGCCCUAAAAAAAGCAAAAAAAAAAAAAAAAANCAGGGAACAAGAAGUGGCAUGUUUGCAGGAUAGAGGAAUUUUAAAUGGUCUAAAAGAAGCUUUCGCUUGUGGUCCCCAAAGCUGGCCCUAUUCCAGAGAAGGUAUUGUUAGACUCCCCAAGGGGAAACAAUCAGGUGCUGGGGCUUCAGGAAGUUGUUCAACAUUUCUGCUACCCAGUUUUUACAUCUGCAUAUUGGAGAUCAUGCUUCCUAGUUUACAGGGUUGCUUUAAGUUAAAGGAACCAACUUAGCAAAAUAUUUGGCAUGUUAUCUGACAUCUCUGUAUUUAAUCAUUAACCAAUAUAUAUUUAGUCUGUGCCAGCUAUGAAGUGCUGGGGCUGGGGUAUGAUGCAGUUCAGCGGAUCCUUAACAUAGUAUUAGCAUCAUUAUCAUUAAUAAUGAUAACAAUUAAAUGGGUAGUAGCAGCCAAAUAGUAGCAGCAUUUCAUUAUUAAUAUGAUGAAAUGUAUUCUGCACAGGUCGCAGGCUCAAUAUCAACCCUUCAGACCACAUCCCUAGGCAGCGCUCAGUGUUUUGCAAUUUUUGUGAUGAAGAUGGAAAAUGCCAAACUGAAAAGUCCUUCUAAGCGGUGGCAACUCUGGUUAAGGAGAGGCCUCCACGGCCUGCAUUUUAAUGGCACCAUCUCCGCUCAGUUUCCAGAUGUGCAUUUGUCCAACUGCACUCUGGGGAAUUUGAUCCAGAUGCUUCCAUUUUACACUGGUGAUAACUGCAACUCAGAGAAAUUAGGCAACUUAAUGAAAGUAGAUAUGAUUCUUCCCACAAAUGUGCACA
This 2569-nucleotide long non-coding RNA is filed under the name Sus scrofa (pig). Its description in RNAcentral is "lncRNA (ENSSSCG00065026331.1)". The record is from RNAcentral. Lineage: Eukaryota; Metazoa; Chordata; Mammalia; Artiodactyla; Suidae.